AGUGAACGCUGGCGGUAGGCCUAACACAUGCAAGUCGAACGGCAGCACAGUAAGAGCUUGCUCUUACGGGUGGCGAGUGGCGGACGGGUGAGGAAUACAUCGGAAUCUACUUUUUCGUGGGGGAUAACGUAGGGAAACUUACGCUAAUACCGCAUACGACCUUCGGUUGAAAGCAGGGGAUCUUCGGACCUUGCGCUAUUGAAUGAGCCGAUGUCGGAUUAGCUAGUUGGCUGGGUAAAGGACCACCAAGGCGACGAUCCGUAGCUGGUCUGAGAGGAUGAUCAGCCACACUGGAACGGAGACACGGUCCAGACUCCUACGGGAGGCAGCAGUGGGGAAUAUUCGACAAUGGGCGCAAGCCUGAUCCAGCCAUACCGCGUGGGUGAAGAAGGCCUUCGGGUUGUAAAGCCCUUUUGUUGGGAAAGAAAAGCAGCAGGUUAAUACCCCGCUGUUCUGACGGUACCCAAAGAAUAAGCACCGGCUAACUUCGUG
Molecule: ribosomal RNA, 492 nt
Filed under: uncultured bacterium
Lineage: Bacteria
Description: partial 16S ribosomal RNA
Rfam family: Bacterial small subunit ribosomal RNA
Source: RNAcentral